CAUCCUUCCAUUUAACGGUGAC
Molecule: non-coding RNA, 22 nt
Filed under: Arabidopsis thaliana (thale cress)
Lineage: Eukaryota; Viridiplantae; Streptophyta; Magnoliopsida; Brassicales; Brassicaceae
Source: RNAcentral